UCAGAUUUUGUCCAAUUUUCACACAGGCCAUCCAAAAAAACUCAUGUUACACUUUAAAGCAUGUUUCACUCAGAUUUAUAUUUCUUUAAAUAGCUUUUUCUUACCAAAAUAUGUUCCACAAGAGACUGUAACAAUGAACGACGACGGUUCCAUAGAUACACCACUAUCAACCGACCAUUCAUGGGACGAUGAUUCUUCAGAAGAUGACGAUAUCGACUUACUAAACACUGAUUCUGUCUCAUCUGAUGACCACGUUAUUAAUGACAAAGGCAAUUUAGUGCUAGAACUCCACGACAUUCGCCGAGAAGGAGCAACAGCCAACCUACAAGAGCCAAAAAGCAAAAGGUUUAGAAAGAAAAAACAGAGUAAGCCAAAAUCCAAAACGGGGCAGUCAUCGAGCAGGUCUUCGGAGGGGUCCUUCCCGCUCCAAAAUGCAGACGGACGAGAAGAAUUCUAUGAUGCACAUGAAAGUUAUCAUGGGCUUACAGCAAAAGCUAUAAGUAAAGUGACAGCGCCAGUGCCGAACGUGGAGGAGUUAGAAAAUCAACCACAACAAGCAAUAGAGCCGAAAGUGCCUGAGCCACUACCAAACGUAAACAUGCAAUCUCCUGAACAAGUGACUACACCGUAGCGCCAUCUAUGAGAAAUCUAUGAAAAUAUUUCGUCACCUACUAAGCACCUUAGUCUCAGAUUACAAAAUAUAGGCAGAUGGAGCGCGCCGAACACAAGGAUGAAGCCACCAAAGCAAAUACUGAAUCAAAAGCGAAUACAAUCUCAGGACUUGCACGCGGAUGUCAACAAUUUAGCACAGUACUUAGAUGUGCCUAUUUUCAGUGAUAUGAGAAAAGUAAUAGUUGGAUAUAUUGCUGGAUGUGUCAUACGGUACGUUAGAAAAGCUAUCAAAUGUGAACCCUGCUUGACACAUUAAAAUUUGGUGUCUACUGAAAGACGAGAUUUUCACAAAUUGAUUAGCUUGAAGGACAAAGGCGAUUUAAUUUUUACUUCCGCUGACACUUACAACGUUUGUGCAUCGACAGAAAUUGUAAUACGACAAAUUUUAAAAGAAAACCUUUGA
This is an RNA transcript of Hyposmocoma kahamanoa, 1075 nucleotides long. RefSeq lists it as uncharacterized. The transcript has 5 exons. Lineage: Eukaryota; Metazoa; Arthropoda; Insecta; Lepidoptera; Cosmopterigidae. The record is from RefSeq and is a predicted model, not a curated record.